AACGAACGCUGGCGGCAUGCCUAACACACGCAAGUCGAACGAGACCUUCGGGUCUAGUGGCGCACGGGUGCGUAACGCGUGGGAAUCUGCCCUUGGGUUCGGAAUAACAGUUGGAAACGACUGCUAAUACCGGAUGAUGACGUAAGUCCAAAGAUUUAUCGCCCAAGGAUGAGCCCGCGUAGGAUUAGCUAGUUGGUGAGGUAAAGGCUCACCAAGGCGACGAUCCUUAGCUGGUCUGAGAGGAUGAUCAGCCACACUGGGACUGAGACACGGCCCAGACUCCUACGGGAGGCAGCAGUGGGGAAUAUUGGACAAUGGGCGAAAGCCUGAUCCAGCAAUGCCGCGUGAGUGAUGAAGGCCUUAGGGUUGUAAAGCUCUUUUACCCGGGAUGAUAAUGACAGUACCGUGAGAAUAAGCUCCGGCUAACUCCGUG
Molecule: ribosomal RNA, 433 nt
Filed under: uncultured bacterium
Lineage: Bacteria
Description: partial 16S ribosomal RNA
Rfam family: Bacterial small subunit ribosomal RNA
Source: RNAcentral